GAUGAACGCUAGCUACAGGCUUAACACAUGCAAGUCGAGGGGAAACGGCAUCGAAAGCUUGCUUUUGAUGGGCGUCGACCGGCGCACGGGUGAGUAACGCGUAUCCAACCUGCCCAUCACUUGGGAAUAACCUUGCGAAAGUAAGACUAAUGCCCAAUGACAUCACACGAAGGCAUCCGAAUGGGAUUAAAGAUUUAUCGGUGAUGGAUGGGGAUGCGUCUGAUUAGCUUGUUGGCGGGGUGACGGCCCACCAAGGCAACGAUCAGUAGGGGUUCUGAGAGGAAGGUCCCCCAGAUUGGAACUGAGACACGGUCCAAACGCCUACGGGAGGCAGCAGUGAGGAAUAUUGGUCAAUGGGCGAGAGCCUGAACCAGCCAAGUAGCGUGCAGGAUGACGGCCCUAUGGGUUGUAAACUGCUUUUAUAAGGGAAUAAAGUGGGUCACGUGUGACUUUUUGCAUGUACCUUAUGAAUAAGGACCGGCUAAUUCCGUG
RNAcentral lists this ribosomal RNA (492 nucleotides) under uncultured bacterium. RNAcentral describes it as "partial 16S ribosomal RNA". It matches the Rfam family "Bacterial small subunit ribosomal RNA", at positions 28 to 507 of the family's 1533-position model. The record is from RNAcentral.